GCCGGCGUGGCAGAGCGGUUAAAUGCGGCGGUCUCGAAAACCGUUGCCUUCACAGGCACACAGGUUCGAAUCCUGUCGCCGGCG
Molecule: transfer RNA, 84 nt
Filed under: Candidatus Iainarchaeum sp.
Lineage: Archaea; Nanobdellati; Candidatus Iainarchaeota; Candidatus Iainarchaeia; Candidatus Iainarchaeales; Candidatus Iainarchaeaceae
Description: tRNA-Ser
Rfam family: tRNA
About the family: Transfer RNA (tRNA) molecules are approximately 80 nucleotides in length. Their secondary structure includes four short double-helical elements and three loops (D, anti-codon, and T loops).
Source: RNAcentral